GACGAACGCUGGCGGCGUGCCUAACACAUGCAAGUCGAACGGGACCAGGGGCAACUCUGGUUCAGUGGCGGACGGGUGCGUAACACGUGAGGAACAUGACCUUCGGCGGGGGAGUAGCCGGCCCGAACGGCCGGGUAACGUACCGCGUACGACCUUUCGGGGUACGAUCCCUCGGAUGGUGAAAGACAGCAAUGCGCCGAUGGAGUGCCUCGCGGCCUAUCAGCUAGUUGGUGAGGUAACGGCUCACCAAGGCGACGACGGGUAGCUGGUCUGAGAGGGCGACCGGCCACACUGGGACUGAGACACGGCCCAAACUCCUACGGGAGGUCAGCAGUUGGGGAAUAUUGGACAAUGGGCGAAAGCCUGAUCCAGCCAUGCCGCGUGAGUGAUGAAGG
Molecule: ribosomal RNA, 395 nt
Filed under: uncultured bacterium
Lineage: Bacteria
Description: partial 16S ribosomal RNA
Rfam family: Bacterial small subunit ribosomal RNA
Source: RNAcentral